Molecule: non-coding RNA, 23 nt
Filed under: Drosophila melanogaster (fruit fly)
Lineage: Eukaryota; Metazoa; Arthropoda; Insecta; Diptera; Drosophilidae
Source: RNAcentral
UAAAAUCCAAUUGGCGGAGUUGU